UACGGGGGGGGCUAGCGUUGUUCGGAAUUACUGGGCGUAAAGGGCGCGUAGGCGGUCUGCUAAGUUGGAUGUGAAAACUCUGGGCUUAACCCAGAGCCUGUAUUCAAUACUGACAGGCUAGAGUUCUGGAGGGGAUAGCGGAAUUCCUGGUGUAGCGGUGAAAUGCGUAGAUAUCAGGAGGAACACCGGUGGCGAAGGCGGCUAUCUGGACAGAGUCUGACGCUGAGGCGCGAAAGCUAGGGGAGCAAACAGG
RNAcentral lists this ribosomal RNA (253 nucleotides) under uncultured bacterium. RNAcentral's name for it is "partial 16S ribosomal RNA". It matches the Rfam family "Bacterial small subunit ribosomal RNA", at positions 524 to 776 of the family's 1533-position model. The record is from RNAcentral.